This 253-nucleotide ribosomal RNA is filed under the name uncultured bacterium. Its description in RNAcentral is "partial 16S ribosomal RNA". It matches the Rfam family "Bacterial small subunit ribosomal RNA", at positions 524 to 776 of the family's 1533-position model. The record is from RNAcentral.
UACGUAGGGGGCACGCGUUGUCCGGAUUUAUUGGGCGUAAAGAGCGUGUAGGCGGCCAGGUAGGUCUGCUGUGAAAACUCGAGGCUUAACCUCGAGCUGUCGGCGGAAACCAUCUGGCUAGAGUCCGGAAGAGGAGAAUGGAAUUCCCGGUGUAGCGGUGAAAUGCGCAGAUAUCGGGAAGAACACCCGUGGCGAAGGCGGUUCUCUGGGACGGUACUGACGCUGAGACGCGAAAGCGUGGGGAGCGAACAGG